CACGUACUCCCUCCGUCUAGAAAUACUUGUCGAAAAAAUGGAUAAAAAUGAAUGUAUCUAGAAGUGGAAUACGUCUACAUACAUCCAUUUCUCCGACAAGUAGUUCCGGAGGAAGGGAGUAUUUC
Non-coding RNA from Triticum aestivum (bread wheat), 125 nucleotides. NCBI's taxonomy places the organism in Eukaryota, Viridiplantae, Streptophyta, Magnoliopsida, Poales, Poaceae. The record is from Rfam.